RNAcentral lists this small RNA (86 nucleotides) under Polaribacter sp. Hel1_33_96. Its description in RNAcentral is "Flavo-1 RNA". The record is from RNAcentral. Lineage: Bacteria; Pseudomonadati; Bacteroidota; Flavobacteriia; Flavobacteriales; Flavobacteriaceae.
CCUUUGCGUUAGGGAUUAAGUGGUUUGUUUGAGCUCUUUUUGUUUUUUUUUAAACAAAAAAGCGAGUAACGAAAGCCUGACUUGGU